ACCUGGCUGGCUCAGUCGGUAGAGCAUGUGACUCUUGAUCUCAGGGUUGUGAGUUCAAGCCCCACAUUGGGUU
RNAcentral lists this transfer RNA (73 nucleotides) under Ailuropoda melanoleuca (giant panda). It matches the Rfam family "tRNA". Rfam says of the family: Transfer RNA (tRNA) molecules are approximately 80 nucleotides in length. Their secondary structure includes four short double-helical elements and three loops (D, anti-codon, and T loops). The record is from Rfam by way of RNAcentral. Lineage: Eukaryota; Metazoa; Chordata; Mammalia; Carnivora; Ursidae.